AUGUCGCAGCAGUUUUUGUCACGUGUGACUGCUCAGGGAGGCUACGCCGUCGUGUUCGGAGGAGGAACUAAACUGCGAGUACAAACCAGUUUAUUUAAUUGGGUGUUGGGUGUUUUUGUAGUCAGUGAGGUUUGUGUCGUGAAGCGUCACACUGUGACUUACGGCUCUGCUGCUAACAAGAUCGUCUUUGGCGGCGGCACCAAACUUCACGUUAUCGACAAUGAGGAGUACAAGCCGUCCUACUACGAACUGUCAAAGGGUAAUACGUCGGUGUGCCUGGCCACCGGCUUCAGCAGACACAAAGCAACAGUGAGCGAACACGGAAGUUUUUUCAAUGAGACAAAGGCCGUCCGCAUAUCAGACGACUCGCUGUACAACCAGGUGGCUUUCAUAUCGUCCCCGGAGGAGAAGGAAAUAUGCCUGCAAGCUGCAGGACAAUCUGACAAGUGUGAAGAUAAACUGGAACAAGAUGCUGAGGUGAACCUGAUGACUGUGACCGUCCUGGGCCUCAGGCUGCUCUUCGUGAAGACGGUCGUCUUUAACGUCCUGCUGACUCUGCGUCUGUGGAUCAGUCAGUGUGAGUACGAACCACACCACUCGGAGGCUGUCGGCUCCUCUGUGAGCUCAGAUCAGACCGCCGUUUCUUCCGGUCGGUGAUCGGAUUUCAGCGUGAAGCCUCUUUGUUUUUUAUCUGUUGUCCUGGUGACGAACAUUUUCACAGCACGCGAUUCUCCGAACAGAAUCUGCGACAAACACGCCAAACUUCAGCAGCUCGUUCUCAUUCCUAACUCUAAACGCCGCUGCCCGGUCAGUCAUUUAGGCGUCACACACCGAUGCCAAAGAACGCCCGAAGUGGCGGUACGAUACGCCACUGAAGGGCGUCGGUUUCUGCGGCGGACGGGUCCAACAAACUCCGGACUGUCACCCAGGAGCCCGCAGUUUGGUUUCCGUAUAAAUGCAGAUUGUAGCGCCUGAUGGUUUAUUCUGAAGCAAACCACAAGCUUUUGAUACAAAAGGAAAUCAGCGUAAAAACAAGGUGUUUAACCGGUGUUGUCAUUUUAUUUUGAAAAAGCUUUUAUGCAUCUAAUGAGCAGAAACGGAACAUUUCCUGUGAAAACGGAGGUGAAUUUUUAAAAAGACAAAAUGCAUCAAAGAGGCGUAAACUGACAUGCAACCCCGAACGUAAAAUGUUCAAACUCCUGACUAGGAAGGACACGUGAAGACGUCCACGAGACACUUAACCGUUGAUCCCGAUCGUCCAGACCGCUGACCGCAAAGAGACACUGAGGCGAUAAGCACAGUUACUUCCUCGACUUUGUGCUCUGAAAGUCUGAAAACGUCACGACUCGGUUUAACGUUGACUUUUUCUAUGUUGCUUUUGAUAUUUCAACCAGAGUUCCCAGUCAGUUUAUGGUCAUACUGGUGCUGGUCUCCUUUGGAUGCUGUUUUAACCCUUUAAUUCCCCAUCGCCUGGGUCAUCAUGAGUUUUCUUGAGCUGUAUUCAGAUGCCUUUUACAGGCGUCGAGCUGAAACAUGAGAAAAAAUGGUUUUAUUUAAUUUAAGAAAAAAAAAGAUGAAAAAAAUGCAAUGAACAACAGAAAUGUCUCGUAAAUGAUAAAAAACUCAAUAAGAAAGUACCUGGGGGAGAUUUAUAUUAUCAAAAACUAUGGAAAAAUUUCAUUUAUAAAUCUAUUUGCUAUAUAUUUACUCUACACAAUGAAACUUUUUCUGCACGUUGUUUAGGUC
Plectropomus leopardus (leopard coralgrouper) is the source of this 1746-nucleotide non-coding RNA. The record is from the annotation of a RefSeq genome assembly. NCBI's taxonomy places the organism in Eukaryota, Metazoa, Chordata, Actinopteri, Perciformes, Serranidae.